UUAAACUUUUGGUUUGUCAAGGUGGUAUCACCUCCAAAACUAUCAUUAAAAUGUACUAUUUUGAGGUAUCUUAACCAUCACCUAAAUAGGCACCAUGAUGAAAUACAUUUAAAAUCAUCUUUAGGUAGAGAGUGGGUAUUUACGAGGAGGGAGAAAAAUGAAGCAGGAGAAGAGGGAGGAAAAGGAGGAGGAGGACGAGGAGGAGGAGGAGGAGGAGGAAGAGAACAAAGACAGAAAAACACAGAGGGGAGAGGAGAGGAGGAUGCAAAGGAGGGAAGAAGGAGAAGAAGAAGAAGAGGAGGAGUGGGAGGGGGAAGGGAAGGAGAAAAAGAAGAGGGAUUCUGGUAGUCUGAUAAGCAACACGCUUAUCAUAAACACACAUUUUAGUUUUCUUCUGUCCGUAUAAGGUUGAAAGACUCGAAAACACAGUAAGCAUGGAAAACAAUAUGACUGAAAAUGAUUGAUAACUAAAGAAAAUCAAACAUCAAUACUGUAAUGUGCGCAGAAGAAAGGACCAGAAAAUGAGAGAAAUCCAAGAUGAUGAACUACAGUGAAAACUUUCCAAGCCCAGGGUUAUAUAGGCAAAAAAUCCCAUUAUGAGGUGGCUAGGAGGACACAAUAGAUGACAGAAUCUAGAAUGUUUGUUGUCGUCUGAUCUCAUCCACUCUCUUCCUUGGCUUCGUACUGAUAAUGAGAGAAAUCCAGACCAAAGGAUUGGGUCACCCACUGCCAGAGUUUCCAGAUGAGCAAGCUGUCGACUGUGAAAGAUCAGCUUGCUGUGGUCUCUGGCUUUUUGCUUGCUGUGCAUGAAGAUGUCACUGCACAAGGCUUCGCCCGGAGUCUUUCUGGACGCAUUCAAAGACUCCUCUCCUCCCUUCUCCAGGCCUUCUGCCAGCUUCUUUGGCCCCACCACAAGAUCUCGGAGAGCCUCCUUUUCUUCCCGUUGCCUUCACAAUGCCAGCUAUACUUUGCAUACAGGAGUGCGAAGAUCAAGUCGAACAACCUAAGCCAUCCUCGCGUUCCUGGUUACCCAGAGAAAGCGCAGAGCUUUCUGGUUCAGAACUCUUUACUGCACAAAGUAACAGUGGCGUGCGUUUCCAUAGAAGACACAUCGCUAUUUUAUUUCUCUCUCAUUCAGUCAUUAUAUUUUGCAUCCAGAUAAAAUCCACUAAGACAGGUUAGUAUCUCUAGCUAGCUGCUGAGAGAAUGUUUCAGUCAUAAACAUUUUCUACCCAGCAUUCUUUCAUCAUUUCUCUGGACAACCAUGCUCUCCUUUUCUGCUCUAAUGCAUGGGACCUUUCCGUGCUACCACAGUGCUCUGAUCUCACUUUGUUAUCCUAACUUUCUACCCUCCUGGUUCUUUUGCAAUUCUCCUUAGAAGUUACCAUUUAUUUUUUUUUCCACAUCAUUUUUUCUCCCUAAAUCAACAUGCUCGUCUACCUUUUCAUGGUAUCAGUUGCUAUCACACAUAACUUCCACUAUGUGUGUGCCCUCAAAUAUCUUAUGACUUCUCGCUUUGCUUCCUUUUCACUUUCUUAGCCAUAAGUCAGACUUAUAAUACUUUUUUGUGUUUUAAAACGAGACACAGCAAUCUCAAAGUUUCACCAAAACUAAUUCUUCCUUCCUUCCUUAAAAAGGUUGUGUCUCUCAACUUUAUUUAUCCAGCACUAUUUAGACAUUAGCCCAGCCUUUCAUAAGCAUCCAGUCUGGAAGUAAAGGCACAGUGACUCAAAAGAUAGCCACAUGGGAAUGGUAUACAGAUAGUUAUCCAAGGGGAGGGUCCCGUCCAGGACAGCGGCCCCAACAGCAGGCAUCUGACCUUCAUGCAGGGGAGCUCAUUUCAGGUAGCACCAGCAGGAAGUUAGCAAGGACUGUAGCUGGUGUGUCUCGGAAA
This 1894-nucleotide long non-coding RNA is filed under the name Chinchilla lanigera (long-tailed chinchilla). RNAcentral describes it as "lncRNA (ENSCLAG00000023513.1)". Lineage: Eukaryota; Metazoa; Chordata; Mammalia; Rodentia; Chinchillidae. The record is from RNAcentral.